GACGUAGGGCGAGGGCGGGGCUAAGCGCGCAGCGUCUGGGUACUGACUGACCGCUCGGCGCCAUGGCCGCGGACACGCGCGCCAAGGCCGUCACUCUGGACCUGAGACGUCGGCUGCUCAGCUCUUCCUGCAGACUCUUUUUUCCUGAGGAUCCUGUUAAGAUUAUCCGAGGCCAAGGGCAGUACCUGUACGACGAGCAAGGGCGAGAGUACCUGGACUGUAUCAACAACGUGGCGCAUGUCGGGCACUGCCACCCUACUGUGGUUCGAGCUGCACAUGAACAGAACCUGGUGCUCAACACCAACAGCAGAUAUCUGCACGACAACAUCGUGGACUAUGCCCAGAGGCUGUCAGAGACCCUGCCAAAGAAGCUUUCUGUGUUUUAUUUCCUGAAUUCUGGGUCAGAAGCCAACGACCUGGCCUUGAGACUAGCUCGCCAGUACACAGGACACCAGGAUGUGGUGGUAUUAGACCAUGCUUAUCAUGGUCACCUGAGCUCCUUGAUCGACAUCAGUCCCUACAAGUUCCGGAAUCUGGAUGGCCAGAAGGAAUGGGUCCAUGUGGCUCCUCUCCCAGACACCUACCGGGGCCCUUACCGGGAGGACCACCCCAAUCCAGCAGAGGCCUAUGCUAGCGAGGUGAAGCAUCUCAUCCGAAGUGCACAAGAGAAGGGCAGGAAGAUCGCAGCCUUCUUCGCUGAGUCUCUGCCCAGUGUGAGUGGACAGAUCAUUCCCCCUGCUGGCUACUUCUCCCAGGUGGCAGAGCUUGUACACAGAGCUGGAGGGCUCUUUGUGGCAGACGAGAUCCAGGUUGGUUUUGGCCGAGUAGGCAAGCACUUUUGGGCCUUCCAGCUGGAGGGAGAAGACUUUGUCCCCGACAUUGUCACCAUGGGAAAGUCCAUCGGCAAUGGUCACCCUGUUGCCUGCAUGGCCACUACCCAAGCUGUAUCAAGGGCAUUUGAAGCUACCGGUGUAGAAUACUUCAAUACGUUUGGUGGCAACCCAGUAUCCUGUGCUGUGGGGCUAGCAGUCCUAGAUGUCUUGAAAACAGAACAGCUCCAGGCUCAUGCCACUAAUGUGGGCAGAUUCCUUAUGAAGCAUCUCAGCCAGCAGAAAGCCAAGCAUCCUAUCAUUGGAGAUGUCAGGGGCACUGGACUCUUCAUUGGUGUGGAUCUGAUCAAAGAUGAGACCCUGAGGACACCAGCAACUGAAGAGGCGGAAUAUUUGGUCUCCAGGCUAAAGGAAAACUACAUUUUACUGAGCACGGAUGGUCCUGGGAGGAAUAUCCUCAAGUUCAAGCCUCCAAUGUGCUUCAGCCUUGACAAUGCACAACAUGUGGUAGCAAAGCUGGAUGACAUUCUAACAGACAUGGAAGAAAAAGUAAGAAGCUGUGAAACACUGAGGAUCAAGCGCCUUCCAGGGUCCACAGGUCCAGGCUGCAGAGCGGCAGCAGGAAGCAGACCCUCCAAUCUAGAACAGGGUAACCUGGUAAUAAAAUCGGCCCCCUAAUGCCGCUCUGGCCUCUGAGACGCCACACGCUGCCUACAACAACUAGAGCUCUGGAAUAGUUAACAGGAGAGUGAUUUCCGGGGGAAAUUUUAAAUAAGAUGCACAUGGGACAGGCCAUAAAAGUUUGCCAAGUUAAAUUUGGUACAUAAUUGUGUUCACUCCGCGUCCAAACAAAGCGUGUGCGGUCGUCACUCGGCCGCUCCUGCUGCCUCUCAGUAUGGCUUGUAGUUAUUCUGAUGACCACCACGUCGCUGGCUCUUCCCGUAAUUUGUACUACCCUGACCUAGGAAUAAGAACAACGUUGUGGCUACUACUUAACUGUACAUUUACCCAGUGCCAGGCGCUUGCCACACAUCCUCAGAAUUUAACCCUGCACAGCAACACCAGCUUUACACCUUACUGAGAGCUCCAGUGCCUGUGCCAGGCCUGUCUGACUCCAAAGCCCCUGCUGCCAGUGGCCCCUGCACUACCUAACCUGCCUCCCCUAGGAGGAAGUAGAUAGGGCCUCCCUCUCCUACUUACUGUAGUCGUAGCCGGGGCCGUAGCCGUAAUAGCCAUAGGGCGAGUAGUCGUAGCCGCCAUAGCCCGGCCCGUAGCCCUGCUGGUAGCCGUAGCCCUGGUUCCAGUAGUUGCCGUAGCCCUGAUUCCAACUCUGACUCUGACCUGUGGGGGGGAGCAGGGCACAGGGGCCCAUGGACCAUUUAGCACACGCAGGAGCUAGGAUGGAGGAAAUCCUGCCCUUUGGGUGGCGGGGUUAUUACUAUGGCAACUCAGAAGCCAAGAGGCUACUGUUCUGGUACAGAGGGCCCUAGGCCCAGCCUUGUAAUCCAGGAGGGCCAGGAUGCCAGUUAACUUCACUUGUGAAUACAGGACGCUUACACUCAAAUCACCCUCUGAUCACCUCCACCCUCCCUUGGCAGCUUUGCCUUGAAAAGAUGCAGUUCAGGCUUUGGAGUUAGAGGGGCCUGGGAUAGAAGGAGCUGAGCUAAGCGCCUGGCACAGCUUUGCCUUUCUGCCCACAGAAGAAUCUCGUCCUACUCAAAUACCCGUAACAGGACAGCACGACAACACCCACCUUACAGAUACAACAAGUAUGUAA
Grammomys surdaster is the source of this 2607-nucleotide RNA transcript. It is a transcript of the gene named 5-phosphohydroxy-L-lysine phospho-lyase, with no coding region annotated. Lineage: Eukaryota; Metazoa; Chordata; Mammalia; Rodentia; Muridae. The transcript is spliced from 14 exons. The record is from RefSeq and is a predicted model, not a curated record.